GAACGAACGCUGGCGGCAGGCCUAACACAUGCAAGUCGAACGAUGCCUUGGGCUUCGGUGAGGUGGAGACUGGCGCACGGGUGAGUAACGCGUGGGUAUCUGCCCUGGGGUGGGGGAUAACCGCUGGAAACGGCGGCUAAUACCGCAUACGCCCUUAGGGGGAAAGCCGAGAGGCGCUCUGGGAGGAGCCCGCGUCAGGAGCCCGCGUCCGAUUAGCUUGUUGGUGGGGUAACGGCCCACCAAGGCUUCGAUCGGUAGCUGGUCUGAGAGGAUGAUCAGCCACACUGGGACUGAGACACGGCCCAGACUCCUACGGGAGGCAGCAGUGGGGAAUAUUGGAAAAUGGGCGCAAGCCUGAUCCAGCCAUGCCGCGUGAGUGAAGAAGGCCUUAGGGUUGUAAAACUCUUUCGCCCGCGAAGAUGAUGACGGUAGCGGGAGAAGAAGCCCCGGCUAACUCCGUGCCAGCAGCCGCGGUAAUACGGAGGGGGCGAGCGUUGUUCGGAAUUACUGGGCGUAAAGGGCGCGUAGGCGGCCAAGCAAGUCAGGGGUGAAAGGCCUGGGCUCAACCUGGGAACGGCCUCUGAAACUGCUGGGCUUGAGUGCGAGAGAGGAUGGCGGAAUUCCCAGUGUAGAGGUGAAAUUUCGUAGAUAUUGGGGAAGAACACCGGUGGCGAAGGCGGCACUCGGACCGAUCCUGACACUGAGGUGCGAAAGCGUGGGGAGCGAACAGGAUUAGAUACCCUGGUAGUCCACGCCGUAAACGAUGAGUGCUAGAUGUCGGGGGACAUGUCCUUCGGUGUCGGAGCUAACGUAUUAAGCACUCCGCCUGGGGAGUACGGCCGCAAGGUUAAAACUCAAAGGAAUUGACGGGGGCCCGCACAAGCGGUGGAGCAUGUGGUUUAAUUCGACGCAACGCGCAGAACCUUACCAGCCCUUGACAUGCCCGUUUUGGCAUUGGGAGACCGAUGCUAUCAGUUCGGCUGGACGGGACACAGGUGCUGCAUGGCUGUCGUCAGCUCGUGUCGUGAGAUGUUGGGUUAAGUCCCGCAACGAGCGCAACCCUCAUCUUCAGUUGCCAUCAGGUUUGGCUGGGCACUCUGGAGAAACUGCCUGUGAUAAGCAGGAGGAAGGCGAGGAUGACGUCAAGUCCUUAUGGCCCUUAUGGGCUGGGCUACACACGUGCUACAAUGGCGGUGACAGAGGGAAGCAACAGGGCGACCUGGAGCCAAUCCCCAAAAGCCGUCUCAGUUCGGAUUGCACGCUGCAACUCGCGUGCAUGAAGGUGGAAUCGCUAGUAAUCGUGGAUCAGCAUGCCACGGUGAAUACGUUCCCGGGCCUUGUACACACCGCCCGUCACACCAUGGGAGUUGGCUUGACCCUAAGCCGGUGCGCUAACCCGCAAGGGAGGCAGCCGUCCACGGUAAGGUCAGCGACUGGGGU
Molecule: ribosomal RNA, 1440 nt
Filed under: uncultured prokaryote
Description: partial 16S ribosomal RNA
Rfam family: Bacterial small subunit ribosomal RNA
Source: RNAcentral